This 435-nucleotide ribosomal RNA is filed under the name Lampyris noctiluca. Its description in RNAcentral is "partial 16S ribosomal RNA". It matches the Rfam family "Bacterial large subunit ribosomal RNA", at positions 1837 to 2582 of the family's 2925-position model. Lineage: Eukaryota; Metazoa; Arthropoda; Insecta; Coleoptera; Lampyridae. The record is from RNAcentral.
UGAUAAUAAUUUAAGGUCUAAUCUGCUCAGUGAGGAGUUAAAUAGCCGCAGUAUUUUGACUGUGCAAAGGUAGCGUGAUAAUUAGUCUCUUAAUUAGGGACUUGUAUGAAUGAUUGGACAAGAAAAUUUCUGUCUCUUUUUAAUUUUUUGUGAAUUUUAUUUUUAAGUUAAAAUGCUUAAAUAUUUGUAAAAGACGAGAAGACCCCAUAGAGUUUUAUUUAAAUUAGUUGGGGUGACUAAAAGAUUUAAUUAACUCUUUUAAUUUAAAUCAUUGAUUUAUGAAUAUAAAGUCUAAUUUUUUUAAAUUUAAAUUAAAUUACCUUGGGGAUAACAGCGUAAUUUCUUUUUAGAGUUCUUAUCAAAUAAGAAGAUUGCGACCUCGAUGUUGGAUUAAAAUUUAUUUUAGGUGUAGAAGCUUAAAAAUUAAGUCUGUUC